RNAcentral lists this ribosomal RNA (761 nucleotides) under uncultured bacterium. RNAcentral describes it as "bacterial SSU rRNA". It matches the Rfam family "Bacterial small subunit ribosomal RNA", at positions 51 to 805 of the family's 1533-position model. The record is from RNAcentral.
ACACAUGCAGUCGAGCGGAGAUGAGGUGCUUGCACCUUAUCUUAGCGGCGGACGGGUGAGUAAUGCUUAGGAAUCUGCCUAUUAGUGGGGGACAACAUUCCGAAAGGAAUGCUAAUACCGCAUACGUCCUACGGGAGAAAGCAGGGGAUCUUCGGACCUUGCGCUAAUAGAUGAGCCUAAGUCGGAUUAGCUAGUUGGUGGGGUAAAGGCCUACCAAGGCGACGAUCUGUAGCGGGUCUGAGAGGAUGAUCCGCCACACUGGGACUGAAACACGGCCCAGACUCCUACGGGAGGCAGCAGUGGGGAAUAUUGGACAAUGGGGGGAACCCUGAUCCAGCCAUGCCGCGUGUGUGAAGAAGGCCUUAUGGUUGUAAAGCACUUUAAGCGAGGAGGAGGCUACUGAGACUAAUACUCUUGGAUAGUGGACGUUACUCGCAGAAUAAGCACCGGCUAACUCUGUGCCAGCAGCCGCGGUAAUACAGAGGGUGCGAGCGUUAAUCGGAUUUACUGGGCGUAAAGCGUGCGUAGGCGGCUUUUUAAGUCGGAUGUGAAAUCCCCGAGCUUAACUUGGGAAUUGCAUUCGAUACUGGGAAGCUAGAGUAUGGGAGAGGAUGGUAGAAUUCCAGGUGUAGCGGUGAAUGCGUAGAGAUCUGGAGGAAUACCGAUGGCGAACGGCAGCCCUUCUGGUCUAAUACUGACGCUGAUGGUACAAAGCAUGGGGAGCAAACUGAAUUAUAUACCUCUGGUAAUCCAUGCCGUAA